Molecule: ribosomal RNA, 255 nt
Filed under: uncultured bacterium
Lineage: Bacteria
Description: partial 16S ribosomal RNA
Rfam family: Bacterial small subunit ribosomal RNA
Source: RNAcentral
UACGUAGGGCGCAAGCGUUAUCCGGAAUUAUUGGGCGUAAAGAGCUCGUAGGCGGUUUUGUCGCGUCUGCUGUGAAAACGCGAGGCUCAACCUCGCGCCUGCAGUGGGUACGGGCAGACUAGAGUGCGGUAGGGGAGAUUGGAAUUCCUGGUGUAGCGGUGAAAUGCGCAGAUAUCAGGAGGAACACCGGUGGCGAAGGCGGAUCUCUGGGCCAUUACUGACGCUGAGGAGCGAAAGCGUGGGGGAGCGAACAGG